AAAAGAUCUAAAGAAUCAUCAUUGUCAUGGGUAAAGCUACUAAAUAAAGAAGCCUAAAAGAAAGAACAAAUUUCUCAGCAAAUGUCACCACAAAUAACAGUGUAUGAGUCUAGUCAAAUACUGCCAUCUAGAGAUAAAAAGAAGAUUCAUCAGGAUAGAAAUCUUCCAAGCAAUUCUAUAGGAGAGGAACAAGCAACCAGGGCAACGCUCCACAGCAAAUGCUGUAAGAAAAUCUAUGGGGAGGACCCAGAUCAGUGAAGCUCCCUGGCAAAUGCUACCCAAAGGAGGAAAAUCUUUAGGGAAAGAGAGCCAAGACAAAACGAAUUAGGGACGAGGAGUAUUUGGAGCAAGGCUGAGCUGACACUGAGCUCCCCACCGCCAUCUGCUGGAGCCCAUGAGAAGAAGUGUCCUGCAUUUCUCCCCUGCAGAAUCUACCUCUCCCGAGGGAGCGUCCAUGAUCUCAAUUCAUCUCUUCAGGAAAAACAGAUCACCACGGUGAAGUAAGCCCAGGCCAGUAUCCCCACAGAUGUCGUCUUGUAGCAGGAGCUCUGUGGUCGGUGUCAGCCAGGCUAAAGCUUGAGAGGACGUCUUCCUUCAGUAUUCUAUCACUCAUCCUAGCCACGAAGGCGUGAAGAUUUUCUCCACUUCAAGUUUAGUUUACUUACCUUUAGUGCUUCAAAAAUAAUCUUUUCAAAAGUUUUCACAUGCUAUAACUCUAGUUUAAGAUUAACAAAGACGAUACGACUCGGCAGACAAAAAUUAAGGUCAUGGCAUCCAGGGAUGAGGUCAGUGAGGGUGACGUAUACCCGAACAAUGGUUCCCAAAGACUUUCUUUAAAAAGGAACGAAGUUUCCAAAGUAUUUCCUCCUUCAGAGACAAGUUGGCAGCUGAGAGGGGAUAUUGGCCAAUUGCAUCUCCAGGAGAGGUGGCUGUGGGAGGGGAAGCCAGUGAACAGACACCACUGAGAAGAGAUGAAGAAUCCCACCACGCUUCUCAACUUCUCCACCUGCGAUUUGGUGGGAAAGUCAGACUCACGGAGGGAGAUCCGUGACACUGCCACGUUCUCCAGUCUAGCUGGUUACCUCUCUACACAUAAUCCUAAAUAAUCUAUUCCUCCGCUGGAAUGCAAGAAGAACCAACCGAGAUGACUCUUUUGUCACGACACUGACCCUCAGAUGAUUAUUAUAACUGCCUCUGUAAGUGCUGUUAUCCGUUGCUCACGGCUGUUAUUGGGAUCAGUAGUACAACCACCACUAGCCCCUAACUCUCCCCUACCAGGCACAGUCCCUCAGGUAGCUCGUGCUCCAGAAGGCAGUCUCCACGUCCUCCCUCCGUGAGCAUCCAUCUCCACCGUCCACUCCCCUGUGAUGCUUCAGUGAGUUAAUUCCCAUGAGGCACAGAGCAGGGCGCCUGGGAUAGGAAAUCCCGCAGAACGUCCCCGCCUGCUGCCCUUGGUGGUGGUGGUGGUUGUUACCCUAGACCCAUGUGAUUCUAAACCUGCAGUUUGUGGAUGCCCCCCGUUCCCCACCAUCUCCACCAUUUCUUUCCGUUAACACAAAGCCCCACACUGUGAUUCCUCUCACAGCCACGUGGUGUCACCAGCACUUCACCGUCGUUCGUCUGAAAUGGCUGAUUAACCAUUACCAGAGGCCUUUCCUGGGGACUCUGAUGGGGACCACGUGGCUGCUCACGCAAAGGGCGAGGCCACACAGAGAGAUCCUUCCACAACUGCAGAAGCUUGCGACCUCUCCGGGAGCUAUUAUCCAGACCAUGCCAGAUUCCUAAGACUGAAAGAAAAAAAGGGAGGGAGAGAAGUUUCUGGAGAUGCAGACUGCUAUGAAAGCACUCUUGCCGAAAAAGAUAAGGGAAAUUUUAAAGACAGAGGCUAUAAAAUCUUCAUUGCAUCUGUCUGUGUGUUUAUGUGUGUCUAUGUACAUGUUAUAUAUGUGAUUUUUCUACCUCUGGAUGGUACAAUUUCUAAAGGAGCUCUAUUUAAUUGGCUUAAAGCAAGCACUCAUAUAUACAUAAUAGAAACCCACCCACAUG
RNAcentral lists this long non-coding RNA (2046 nucleotides) under Equus caballus (horse). RNAcentral's name for it is "lncRNA (ENSECAG00000041000.2)". Lineage: Eukaryota; Metazoa; Chordata; Mammalia; Perissodactyla; Equidae. The record is from RNAcentral.